GCGGAUCCAGACCUGAACCUUCGCGAGGAUAAAAAAUCCAGCUCUCCAAGAUCACUUCGUGAAACUUCCUGAACCAGUCCGGUGUCGAUGCCCAAGCCGCCCACCACUCGUGAUCGUAUUCGUCCCCGGUAGUCGCGAUGCGCAUUCGAAUCACCAUGCGCUCAAGUGGGGAAAGGCGUUUUCGCAAACCGCCCUUGUCACUCGUAAAACCCCGGUACACCGCCUGCCGUUUCAAUCGUGUCGAAGUAGCGCUAUUGAAAAGAAGUUUUUCCCCUUGUACAAAAGCAGGAGAGGCAAAGCACUUGAAGAUUUCGCGGCGCUUCUUCUCGUCUCGACGGUCGUCAUCCAUUGA
Molecule: unclassified non-coding RNA, 352 nt
Filed under: uncultured bacterium
Lineage: Bacteria
Description: contains 16S-23S intergenic spacer region
Source: RNAcentral